CCCUACUGCUAUCGGGGUGGGACUAAGGCAUGCUAGUCGAGCGCCUUGAGCUAUGGCGAGGCGCGGCGUACAGCUCAGUAACACGUGGCUAACCUACCCUUAGGACGGAGACAACCCCGGGAAACUGGGGCUAAUAUCUGAUAGGUGAGGAGGCCUGGAAUGGUUCUUCGCUGAAAAGGCGUUGAAACCAUGCUUUUCAGCGUCGCCUAAGGAUGGGGCCGCGUCCGAUCAGGUUGUUGGUGGGGUAACGGCUCACCAAGCCUAUAACCGGUACGGGCCGUGAGAGCGGGAGCCCGGAGAUGGGCACUGAGACAAGGGCCCAGGCCCUACGGGGCGCAGCAGUCGCGAAAACUCCGCAAUGCGCGAAAGCGUGACGGGGCUACCCCGAGUGCCGUCCGCUGAGGAUGGCUUUUCCCCGGUGUAAUGAGCCGGGGGAAUAAGGAGAGGGCAAGUCUGGUGUCAGCCGCCGCGGUAAUACCAGCUCUCCGAGUGGUAGGGACGAUUAUUGGGCUUAAAGCGUCCGUAGCCGGCUUAGCAAGUCUUCUGUUAAAUUCAGCGACCUAAUCGUUGAGCCGCGGGAGAUACUACUAGGCUAGGAGGCGGGAGAGGCCGACGGUAUUCUCGGGGUAGGGGUGAAAUCCUAUAAUCCCGGGAGGACCACCAGUGGCGAAGGCUGUCGGCUAGAACGCGCUCGACGGUGAGGGACGAAAGCUGGGGGAGCGAACCGGAUUAGAUACCCGGGUAGUCCCAGCUGUAAACGAUGCGGGCUAGGUGUUGGGGUGGCUACGAGCCACUUCAGUGCCGCAGGGAAGCCAUUAAGCCCGCCGCCUGGGGAGUACGGCCGCAAGGCUGAAACUUAAAGGAAUUGGCGGGGGAGCACCACAAGGCGUGAAGCUUGCGGUUC
RNAcentral lists this ribosomal RNA (904 nucleotides) under uncultured archaeon. RNAcentral's name for it is "bacterial SSU rRNA". It matches the Rfam family "Archaeal small subunit ribosomal RNA", at positions 21 to 903 of the family's 1478-position model. The record is from RNAcentral.